CGAAAAGUUUGAAGAAGAUUGCAGAGCUCAGAGGGAUUUUUCCUGCCGGAAAUUGAGGUCUAAUGCAUCAGCCAAAGUAAAAGAUCCGGAGCCUUUAAACAACUGGAUGUGAAGAAUUGAAGUGUUUCGGUAUGAAACCACGGAGUGGCAUGGUCACCCAAGGGACAUCCAUUUAUAAACACGAAGUUUCAUCGACUAGAAUUCUGUUACGCGUAGAAAUAUUGACGAGGGAUACCGCGUUAACGUUCCAUCGAGAUGCUGGUAUCCGGGAAUUCAGUUCCUGAAGCUUUAAAUCUGUAAAUUGAGCAGUUUCUGCACCGCGAGAUUGUCUGGAUUUGGUUGUUGUGAAUGCAUUCCUUCUUAAAAUUUUAGUCGGUUUGCUUAAAAAGGAGUUCGGAUCCGUAUUCGGAUAACCAGAAAAGGGAAGACUUUUUCCCCGCUUAGGACAAUCUUGAUCAGAAAAUGUUAAUAAUUAAUAAUA
Molecule: long non-coding RNA, 481 nt
Organism: Uranotaenia lowii
Lineage: Eukaryota; Metazoa; Arthropoda; Insecta; Diptera; Culicidae
Exons: 3
Source: RefSeq, a predicted model, not a curated record